GAUGAACGCUGGCGGCGUGCUUAACACAUGCAAGUCGAACGAAGCACUUUAUUUGAUUUCCUUCGGGACUGAUUAUUUUGUGACUGAGUGGCGGACGGGUGAGUAACGCGUGGGUAACCUGCCUUGUACAGGGGGAUAACAGUUGGAAACGGCUGCUAAUACCGCAUAAGCGCACAGCGUCGCAUGAUGCAGUGUGAAAAACUCCGGUGGUAUAAGAUGGACCCGCGUUGGAUUAGCUAGUUGGUGAGGUAACGGCCCACCAAGGCGACGAUCCAUAGCCGACCUGAGAGGGUGACCGGCCACAUUGGGACUGAGACACGGCCCAAACUCCUACGGGAGGCAGCAGUGGGGAAUAUUGCACAAUGGGCGAAAGCCUGAUGCAGCGACGCCGCGUGAGCGAAGAAGUAUUUCGGUAUGUAAAGCUCUAUCAGCAGGGAAGAUAAUGACGGUACCUGACUAAGAAGCACCGG
Molecule: ribosomal RNA, 470 nt
Filed under: uncultured bacterium
Lineage: Bacteria
Description: bacterial SSU rRNA
Rfam family: Bacterial small subunit ribosomal RNA
Source: RNAcentral